UGGGCGAAGAACUAUCUGGCCUGAGUGUCAAAGAUCUACAAAAUCUAGAAAGCAAGUUGGAAAUGAGCUUGAAAGGUGUCCGUGUAGAAAAGGAAAAGAUUUUAAGGGAUGAAAUUACGGAACUAAGACAGAAGGGGAAUCAUAUGCAUCAAGAAAAUGUGGAACUAUACAAGAAAUUAGAUAUGAUUCACAAGGAAAAUGCAGAACUGCAAAUGAAGGU
Cucurbita pepo subsp. pepo (vegetable marrow) is the source of this 220-nucleotide non-coding RNA. The record is from RefSeq and is a predicted model, not a curated record. Lineage: Eukaryota; Viridiplantae; Streptophyta; Magnoliopsida; Cucurbitales; Cucurbitaceae.